GACAGGUGCUGCAUGGCUGUCGUCAGCUCGUGUCGUGAGAUGUUGGGUUAAGUCCCGCAACGAGCGCAACCCUUCGUCCUUUAGUUGCCAUCAUUAAGUUGGGCACUUUAAGGAAACUGCCGGUGAUAAGCCGGAGGAAGGUGGGGAUGACGUCAAGUCCUCAUGGCCCUUACAGGCUGGGCUACACACGUGCUACAAUGGCAUCUACAGUGGGCAGCUAUUCCGCAAGGAUGCGCUAAUCUCCAAAAGAUGUCUCAGUUCGGAUUGUCCUCUGCAACUCGAGGGCAUGAAGGCGGAAUCGCUAGUAAUCGCGGAUCAGCAUGCCGCGGUGAAUACGUUCCCAGGCCUU
This 349-nucleotide ribosomal RNA is filed under the name uncultured Porphyrobacter sp. Its description in RNAcentral is "bacterial SSU rRNA". It matches the Rfam family "Bacterial small subunit ribosomal RNA", at positions 1033 to 1382 of the family's 1533-position model. The record is from RNAcentral. Lineage: Bacteria; Pseudomonadati; Pseudomonadota; Alphaproteobacteria; Sphingomonadales; Erythrobacteraceae.